CUAUGGGGGCAAAAGCUAAAAGGGGUAAUAGAGAUAGCAAUAAGGGAGCCAAAGCUGUGAGGAAAGUCCUUGGCAGAGAGAUGAGAAAGAACUAGAUUGGGGAGGACGCACAAAGAAACAGAGCGAAAGGGAAACUGAGAAGCUGUGCAGUCGACGGGUGCCCACCUGGACUGGAUUUAAGUCAGAAGAGAAGGAAGAUGUGAGUAUUCAUCAAACGUCUCUGCGAAGCCUGUAACCCCACACCGGCUCUUCGAAGAAGCAUUAUCUCUGUUUUACGGAUGAGAAAACCGAGGACUUCCUCCUCCGGGCGAGGCGGGGGAAGGACGCCGCCGAGCGCCUGGAGUUGUGCGCGUGUGCGUGUGCGAGUGUGAAGUGCAGCGCUGGAGUGCAACAUGCUGUAAUGGGAGGAAACCCAGCGGCGUCGGAGCGCCCUGGACCGCCGCGG
Molecule: small RNA, 445 nt
Filed under: Pan troglodytes (chimpanzee)
Lineage: Eukaryota; Metazoa; Chordata; Mammalia; Primates; Hominidae
Description: processed transcript
Source: RNAcentral